This 29-nucleotide small RNA is filed under the name Bombyx mori (domestic silkworm). Its description in RNAcentral is "ovarian small RNA-15930". Lineage: Eukaryota; Metazoa; Arthropoda; Insecta; Lepidoptera; Bombycidae. The record is from RNAcentral.
GAGGUACGCGGAUAGAGCCCUAUGGUCGC